Capsella rubella is the source of this 701-nucleotide long non-coding RNA. RefSeq lists it as uncharacterized. NCBI's taxonomy places the organism in Eukaryota, Viridiplantae, Streptophyta, Magnoliopsida, Brassicales, Brassicaceae. The record is from RefSeq and is a predicted model, not a curated record. The transcript has 5 exons.
GGCCUCAUGUAAUUGUAGAUUGUUAAUAUAUUUGGCUCACUGUUGUGUAUCACUUCAUAAACUUGAAACUGAUUAUUGAAUCUGUUGUUUUGAUUUAAUACUUUUCAGUUUACAGUUUGGUACUCACUUGUGUUUGCGAGAGUCGAAUUUGUAGAAUAUAUCUGAUCAUAUGCAGAAUUAUAAGGUCAACAAUAUUAUGUAAUUCAGUAUAUAUAAAUAUCUGGUUGUAAACUUUUGUUUUCUCUUUAGUUUAUAUGUGGAAAUGUGAAAGUUCUGAGAGUCUUGGAUUAAUCUUGCAUUGUAGCUGCAGAGAAACAUAUUGCUGACAUCUCUAUAUGGAACCUGUAUAGUUUAAUGGCACCUAUACAUGGAACGUCAGACAUUGUCCAGCUGAGGUGUGUUGUAUUUGGCAGACAGUGUAGCUAUGGUAUCAACGGGAGUAGCUUGGUGUUCUAUAUUGGUUAUGUUUUGAAGCACAGGAGUGACAAAAUUGUUGGUAUUUAAGCUACCAUGAUUGUCGAAUGAAGACGUGGAUAAGUUUGAGCCUGAAACUGGGAAGAGAUGGAUGGUGAAUAGAGGAUUGUGUGACAUCCAGCCGAUUGUUGCUCCCACUUAGUAUGCAGGAAUGUUGUUAUGUGGUGGUUGUGUCUAGCAGCAUACGAUGCUAGUGUUUGAAGAUUCGAAGAAGAAGGAUUACAAUG